AGCUUUUUAGUUUAUUAUAAAAUUUUUACUUGUGGCGUAAAAGAAUUUAAGCUA
This 54-nucleotide transfer RNA is filed under the name Caenorhabditis afra. RNAcentral's name for it is "tRNA-His". Lineage: Eukaryota; Metazoa; Nematoda; Chromadorea; Rhabditida; Rhabditidae. The record is from RNAcentral.